RNAcentral lists this ribosomal RNA (539 nucleotides) under Aspergillus candidus. Its description in RNAcentral is "eukaryotic LSU rRNA". The stretch from base 167 to 320 matches the Rfam family "5.8S ribosomal RNA". The record is from RNAcentral. Lineage: Eukaryota; Fungi; Ascomycota; Eurotiomycetes; Eurotiales; Aspergillaceae.
CUCCGAGCCCAACCUCCCACCCGUGUAUACCGUACCCUGUUGCUUCGGCGGGCCCGCCUCACGGCCGCCGGGGGGCCUCGCGCCCCCGGGCCCGCGCCCGCCGAAGACCCCAACACGAACACUGUCUGAAAAGUGCAGUCUGAGUCGAUUGUUACCAAUCAGUCAAAACUUUCAACAAUGGAUCUCUUGGUUCCGGCAUCGAUGAAGAACGCAGCGAAAUGCGAUAACUAAUGUGAAUUGCAGAAUUCAGUGAAUCAUCGAGUCUUUGAACGCACAUUGCGCCCCCUGGUAUUCCGGGGGGCAUGCCUGUCCGAGCGUCAUUGCUGCCCUCAAGCACGGCUUGUGUGUUGGGCCCCGUCCCCGGUACCCCCGGGGACGGGCCCGAAAGGCAGCGGCGGCACCGCGUCCGGUCCUCGAGCGUAUGGGGCUUUGUCACCCGCUCCGCAGGCCCGGCCGGCGCCAGCCGACCAACCCAACCAUUUUCUACAGGUUGACCUCGGAUCAGGUAGGGAUACCCGCUGAACUUAAGCAUAUCAAUA